ACAUGCAAGUCGAGGGGCAGCAUGUUGGUUGCUUGCAACCAACGAUGGCGACCGGCGCACGGGUGAGUAACGCGUAUCCAACCUACCCUUGUCCAUCGGAUAACCCGUCGAAAGGCGGCCUAACACGAUAUGCGGUUCACGGCAGGCAUCUAAGGUGAACGAAAUGUGAAGGAGAAGGAUGGGGAUGCGUCUGAUUAGCUUGUUGGCGGGGUAACGGCCCACCAAGGCUACGAUCAGUAGGGGUUCUGAGAGGAAGGUCCCCCACAUUGGAACUGAGACACGGUCCAAACUCCUACGGGAGGCAGCAGUGAGGAAUAUUGGUCAAUGGGCGAGAGCCUGAACCAGCCAAGUAGCGUGCAGGAUGACGGCCCUAUGGGUUGUAAACUGCUUUUAUAGGGGGAUAAAGUGUGCCACGUGUGGCAUAUUGCAGGUACCCUAUGAAUAAGGACCGGCUAAUUCCGUGCCAGCAGCCGCGGUAAUACGGAAGGUCCGGGCGUCAUCCGGAUUUAUUGGGUUUAAAGGGAGCGUAGGCCGUUUGGUAAGCGUGUUGUGAAAUGUCGGGGCUCAACCUGGGCAUUGCAGCGCGAACUGCCAGACUUGAGUGCGCAGGAAGUAGGCGGAAUUCGUCGUGUAGCGGUGAAAUGCUUAGAUAUGACGAAGAACUCCGAUUGCGAAGGCAGCCUGCUGUAGCGCAACUGACGCUGAAGCUCGAAAGCGUGGGUAUCGAACAGGAUUAGAUACCCUGGUAGUCCACGCGGUAAACGAUGGAUGCUCGCUGUUUGCGUCUGACGUAAGCGGCCAAGCGAAAGCGUUAAGCAUCCCACCUGGGGAGUACGCCGGCACGGUGAAACUCAAGGAAUUGACGGGGGCCCGCACAAGCGGAGGAACAUGUGGUUUAAUU
RNAcentral lists this ribosomal RNA (901 nucleotides) under uncultured bacterium. RNAcentral's name for it is "bacterial SSU rRNA". It matches the Rfam family "Bacterial small subunit ribosomal RNA", at positions 53 to 951 of the family's 1533-position model. The record is from RNAcentral.